RNAcentral lists this ribosomal RNA (542 nucleotides) under uncultured eukaryote. RNAcentral describes it as "SSU rRNA". It matches the Rfam family "Eukaryotic small subunit ribosomal RNA", at positions 21 to 549 of the family's 1831-position model. The record is from RNAcentral.
UAGUCAUAUGCUUGUCUCAGAGAUUAAGCCAUGCAUGUCUAAGUAUAAGCAAUCUUAUACAGCGAAACUGCGAAUGGCUCAUUAAAUCAGUUAUAGUCUACUUGAUCGUAUCUUCUUACAUGGAUAACCGUAGUAAAUCUAGAGCUAAUACAUGCUAAAAAUCCUGGACGCGGCAACGCGGAAGGGACGAGUUUAUUAGAUUAAAAACCGACACCUCUCCGCGAGGGGAGGUAGCACAGGUGAUUCACAGUAACCGAUCGGAUCGUCGGCCCCGCCGACGACGAUGCAUACGAGUUUCUGCCCUAUCAACUUUAGAUGGUAGAGUAUCGGUCUACCAUGGUCGUAACGGGUGACGGGGGAUUAGGGUUCGAUUCCGGAGAGGGAGCCUGAGAAACGGCUACCACUUCCAAGGAAGGCAGCAGACGCGCAAAUUACCCAAUCCCGACACGGGGAGGUAGUGACAAGAAAUACCAUUGUAAUGUCUCCUCGAGAGGCUUACGAUUGGAAUGAGUACAAUUUAAAUCCCUUAACGAGUAACGAUU